Long non-coding RNA from Cavia porcellus (domestic guinea pig), 309 nucleotides. RefSeq lists it as uncharacterized. The transcript is spliced from 3 exons. NCBI's taxonomy places the organism in Eukaryota, Metazoa, Chordata, Mammalia, Rodentia, Caviidae. The record is from RefSeq and is a predicted model, not a curated record.
GGGCUCGACGUCUAGUGGGACAGCUCUGCGGCGAGGAGAAAUUGGCUGGCCGCAGUCUGCGCGGGGCGCUGCAGACUCGAGGUGGGGCUUCUUUGGAGGCAGCUGAAUCUAGAGUUUGUGAUUGAUUCAUGGUACAAUGCUGGGAUUAAGGCCGAUGGGACUAAAGCUAGUGCUGGGCAUCAAAAGGAAGGAUCGUGCCUGUAAGACAAGCACUCUACCACAAAGCUACAUCCCUAGCCCAGAAUUUCUAACUUCUAAUUUCAUAUUAUAUCUGUUGAUCAUCACAGUUUUGAGAUUAUUUUCAUUACA